Molecule: long non-coding RNA, 339 nt
Filed under: Brassica napus (rape)
Lineage: Eukaryota; Viridiplantae; Streptophyta; Magnoliopsida; Brassicales; Brassicaceae
Description: long non-coding RNA (BNAP_LNC017456)
Source: RNAcentral
CGACGCAAAUAUUUCCUCGUAAAUUUACAUGGUGUUUACAACGCAGUUACGAGGAGACCAAAUUUCGUCGUAAACUCCAUGUAAAUUUACGAGGAAAUAUUUUUGUCGUAAAGUCCAUGUAAGUUUACGACGAAAGUACGUGGAAUGAGAAAUACGUCGUAAUCGUUACAUCGACAUUACAACGAAACAUGCUACCGUUAUAUUUAGAUGAAAACGUGUAUUGAAUGUGCUUUAACUUACCUAAUUUCGUCGUAAAGUCGUUGUAAAUAUUAUGUUAAAACCAUGUAAAAUUCAUGUAAAACAUUCCUUGUAAAAUCGUUGUUAUAUUUCAACUACCCA